UUGAUCCCGCGCGGCGCCUUCGUGCCGUGUGUCCCUCAGCUCUCCCGCCAUCUUGUCAAGCUGUUGGGCGUGUGGUUUAGCCUUGUACUUUCUCAAGCCAUGGCUAUGGAGACACAGGCUCAAUCCAAGAACCUUGAGAACGUCAAGAAAGAGCCGCAGACGCCUAAGGCCAAUGAAAACAGUGAUAACGCCAACAGUUUCCGUGGUGGCGGGCGAGGCGGCAGAGGAGGAUUCCGUGGAAACCGGGGUGGCGGCGGCGGCCCUGGCGGCGGCAGGGGCGGUGGACCUGGUUCCGUACAGACCUCCACCCCGGUCCCAGGUGGUAUCGGUAGCCUGGGCGCCACCAACCAGGGCAUCCCUGGUGGCAUAGGAUCUCUGGAAGGCAGUCGCGGCGGUGCCCACAAUGUCGGGCGUGGCGGCGCCCACCAUGCCAACAGCACCCCGGGCCACGCUCCUAACAGCAACGCCGCCAACAACGCGGACUCUAGACCUGACCACCAUCGGGGCGGUGGCGGUGGUGGUUACUACAGGGGCGGGCGAGGAGGUCGAGGGCGUGGAGGAGGCGGCGGCGGCGGCGGCUACGGCGGCGACAGGGGAGAUCGAGGACAGGUGGGGAAGCGGCCUCCUCUGGGUGGUCUGAAGGACAGAAUUAUUGAGAGACUGAAGCAGUUGGCUGGGCCGCUGAUUGACUUGCCACCCCGUGAGGAAACUGUUCGCAAGUUCUCCAACCAUUGUAGAUUGUGGGUGGGCAACCUGCCGUUGGACAUAAAGGAGGAUGACGUUAGAGAACUGUUUAAGCCUUUUGGAGAAUAUGAUGAAGUGUAUUUUGACAAGAACAAGGGAUUUGCCUUUGUUCGUAUGGACUACAAAAGCAAUGCAGAAAAAGCACGCCAGGAGCUCCACAUGAAGGAUUACAAAGGUCGGCAGCUAAAGAUACGCUUCUCGUCUCCUGGCACAGCACUCAAGAUCCGUAACCUUUCAACGUGGGUUACUAAUGAGCUCCUGGAGAAGGCAUUCUCGGUAUUUGGUGAAUUGGAGAAAGCCAUUGUCAUCACUGAUGAGAGGGGGAGAGCCACUGGAGAUGGCAUUGUGGAGUUCUGCAAGAAACCCUCGGCCAACUUGGCUUUGAAAAAGUGUAACGAGGGUUGCUUCUUCAUGGUUGCGUCACCGCGUCCUGUCAUUGUGGAGCAGAUGGCUCUUGUUGAUGACAAUGAGGGCAUGAGUGAAAUAAACAUCAACAAACGUAACCCAGAGUAUGUGAAGGAAAGACAGCAGGGUCCUCGCUUUGCCCAUCCUGGUUCCUUUGAAUAUGAGUAUGGCCUUAAGUGGAAACAGUUGUACGAGCUGUUUGACAAGAAACGGGAUGCACUGGAAAAGGAGCUCCAGGAUGAGAAGAGGAAGCUGGAAGAGCAGAUUGAAUAUGCUAAAUAUGAACACGAAACAGAAAUGCUCCGUGAACAGUUGAGGCAGAGAGAAGAAAUGAACCAGAGGACUAAAUCUGAUUAUGAGGCAAGACAGCGUGAAUGGGAAGAACAUCGCCGCACUGAAGAGGAAAGACAACGUCGACAGGAGGAGGAACUUUCUCAGAAGUUCCGACAACAGGAGGAGGAGCUUAGGCGCCGGCAAGAGGAGAACAGGCUGUUCAUGCAGGAGCGUGCCAAUGACUUGAUGAAGAGUGAGAACAGUCAAGAUAGCUUUGGAAGCAGUGGUUAUCCAGGUAAUGAGGGCAGUAACUGGCGUCGCAACAGUGAUGGUUAUAGGUCUCAGGGAGGCAGCAGUUGGCGUGGCGGUGGCAGUGACAAUUGGGGCCGUUCAGGCAUGGGGAGCCGAGGGGGCACUGGCUCCUCUGGCAUGGGUAGCAGCUGGGACAGUAACUGGGAUGGCCGUCCAGACCCUUGGCAGAGUGACAAUCGGAGUGGUUAUCAGCGUGGAGGCAACGAGAAUGAGCUGCCCCCUCCCCCGGUAACUUAUUACAGAGGCCGCAAUGCAGGCUACAGGCGUGGCAACAGGAUGGGUUUGGUAACGUGACCGGUGCCACCCAGCCGGUGAAGCAGCUGUAGGGGCUGAACUACCCGGGUGGCAUGUGGGGAUGAAAAGGGAGCUGGGCCUGGAGGAUGCACAGGGUGUAGUCAAAGGAGGCAGUUGGGUUGUUUCCACUGCACCCUGUCAAUGCCAGAGAGGUUGGCUUCCAUCGUGGGUGGUUGAGAGGUGCUGUUAUCCACACGAGGUCUCCAGCGGGUAGUUGUGUUAUUGACCACCUUAGACUUGCUCAAAUUCUAAUUAAUUUUAGUUAAUCAUAUAUAUAUAUAUAUAUAUA
Molecule: unclassified non-coding RNA, 2317 nt
Filed under: Portunus trituberculatus (swimming crab)
Lineage: Eukaryota; Metazoa; Arthropoda; Malacostraca; Decapoda; Portunidae
Description: hrp65 protein-like, transcript variant X11
Source: RNAcentral